UACGUAGGUGGCAAGCGUUGUCCGGAUUUAUUGGGUUUAAAGGGUGCGUAGGUGGUCUAUUAAGUCAGUGCUGAAAUAUCCCGGCUUAACCGGGAGGGUGGCAUUGAUACUGAUGGACUUGAGUAGAGUCGAGGUAGGCGGAAUUGACGGUGUAGCGGUGAAAUGCUUAGAUAUCGUCAAGAACACCUAUUGCGAAGGCAGCUUACUAGGCUCAAACUGACACUGAUGCACGAAAGUGUGGGGAUCAAACAGG
This 253-nucleotide ribosomal RNA is filed under the name uncultured bacterium. RNAcentral's name for it is "partial 16S ribosomal RNA". It matches the Rfam family "Bacterial small subunit ribosomal RNA", at positions 524 to 776 of the family's 1533-position model. The record is from RNAcentral.